AGGAUUCCCCUAGUAGCUGCGAGCGAACAGGGAAAAGCCCAGCACCGAAUCCCGCGGCCGAUACCGGACGCCGGGAAAUGUGGUGUUAGGGAGGAUUCAUUAUCACGAGAUUUAGUUUUGCGUUAAAGUCCUUCUUGAACGGGGCCACAGCCCAUAGAGGGUGCCAGGCCCGUAGUGACCAGAACUAAUCGCGUGAGAAUCUCUCCUUAGAGUCGGGUUGCUUGAGAGUGCAGCCCUAAGUGGGUGGUAAACUCCAUCUAAGGCUAAAUAUAACCACGAGACCGAUAGCGAACAAGUACCGUGAGGGAAAGUUGAAAAGCACUUUGAAGAGAGAGUUCAAGAGUACGUGAAACCGUUCAGGGGUAAACCUGAGAAACCCGAAAGGUCGAAAGGGGAAAUUCAUUCGUAUCUCGAUGAUGGCAUUGGGUGUUGGUUUGACAAUUAUUAUCAUGUAUAGUAGUUGCAUCCUUCAUUUAAUGAACCAACAUCGAAUGCGUGCACUUUUCCCCAAGUAGGACGCCGCGAUCCGUUGGGUGUCGGUCUAAGGCCCAUGGUGGAGCCCAUUUGGUUGGCAUUUAUUGUCAUUAUCGAAUGGACCCGUGGUGUUUCCCGGCCGACUUGCUUGACGGUAUACAGAUGGCGCAGAGCCGCGACUUUAGUUCGCGUUCGGCCCAUGGCAAGCACGUCUUGAUGUGUUGGCGAUCGGACCUAGUGCCGUUCCUGACCCCUGACGACUGUUGGCUAUGGUGUUCUCGAACAGACUCUGUAAUAUGUAACGCCGAUCUGCGGCGCUAUAGCUUUGGGUACUUUCAGGACCCGUCUUGAAACACGGACCAAGGAGUCUAGCAUGUGCGCGAGUCAUUGGGACAUAACUAAACCUAAAGGCGUAAUGAAAGUAAAUGUUUGUCUUGCACAAACUUAGGGAAGAUGAGUGGUUUGCCCAUAAAGUGGCCACUCCGCACUCCCGGGGCGUCUCAAUCUUAUUACAAGAUGAGGCGCACCAAGAGCGUACACGCUGGGACCCGAAAGAUGGUGAACUAUGCCUGGUCAGGACGAAGUCAGGGGAAACCCUGAUGGAGGUCCGUAGCGAUUCUGACGUGCAAAUCGAUCGUCGGAACUGGGUAUAGGGGCGAAAGACUAAUCGAACCAUCUAGUAGCUGGUUCCCUCCGAAGUUUCCCUCAGGAUAGCUGGCGCUCAUUGCGUACGAGUCUCAUCCGGUAAAGCGAAUGAUUAGAGGCAUUGGGGUCGAAACGACCUCAACCUAUUCUCAAACUUUAAAUGGGUGAGAUCUCCGGCUUGCUUAAAUUGCUGAAGCCGUGAGAUUUCGGAUCAGAGUGCCAAGUGGGCCAUUUUUGGUAAGCAGAACUGGCGCUGUGGGAUGAACCAAACGCUGAGUUAAAGCGCCUAAAUCGACGCUUAUGGGAUACCAUGAAAGGCGUUGGUAACUUAAGACAGCAGGACGGUGGCCAUGGAAGUCGGAAUCCGCCAAGGAGUGUGUAACAACUCACCUGCCGAAGUUACUAGCCCUGAAAAUGGAUGGCGCUGAAGCGUCGUGCUUAUACUCAGCCGUCAGUGGCAUGUGCGGUUCAUUUUAAAUGAGCCAUGAAGCUCUGACGAGUAGGAGGGUCGCGGCGGUGAGCGCUGAAGGGCUGGCCGUAGGGCCGUCUGGAGCCGCCGUCGGUGCAGAUCUUGGUGGUAGUAGCAAAUACUCCAGCGAGGCCCUGGAGGACUGACGUGGAGAAGGGUUUNGUGUGAWCAGYYGUUGCACACGAGUCAGUYGAUCYUAAKCCNUAGGCGAAARCCGAUGUUAAUGUGGKGUAUGUUUAUAAUAAAAUAAAUAGAAUUAUAUAUUUAAUUGAUAUAAAAUUGAAAUUUCCAUAAAGGAAAAAUAUAUAAAUGUCUAAUAAAAUUUUUGGAUUUGAGAAAUUGUACUUAUCCCACUUGUGUGUGGGUAAAAGUGUUUCUGCUUUUCCACUUAUUACAUGAAGGAUAUUUUAUUUUUCCGGAAAAUUUAAUUAUCAAUUAAUAUUUAAUAUAUUUCUUAUUGAAAUUUGAACACACCCAUUGGGCGAAAGGGAAUCCGGUUCCUAUUCCGGAACCCGGUAGCGGAACCGUUUAAAAGUCGGGCCCUCGCAAGAGAGUUCGUCGGGGUAACCCAAAAGGACCCGGAGACGCCGUCGGGAGAUCCGGAAAGAGUUUUCUUUUCUGUAUGAGCGUUCGAGUUCCAUGGAAUCCUCUAGCAGGGAGAUAUGGUUUGGAACGCGAAGAGCACCGCAGUUGCAGCGGUGUCCGGAUCUUCCCCUCGGACCUUGAAAAUCCGGGAGAGGGCCACGUGGAGGUGUCGCACCGGUUCGUACCC
Molecule: ribosomal RNA, 2360 nt
Filed under: Dysmerus sp. BYU CO743
Lineage: Eukaryota; Metazoa; Arthropoda; Insecta; Coleoptera; Laemophloeidae
Description: eukaryotic LSU rRNA
Rfam family: Eukaryotic large subunit ribosomal RNA
Source: RNAcentral